AGGUAUCUCCGAAAUUGCCAGAGGGUUUGGAGGUUUGUUUUUUUUACCAACUUGUAUUUUCUUUUGCUGGAUAUGGGAGUACUUUACCUAUUAGAAUAAUCUGUGUUUUAACUGUCCCUGCCAACCCUGUUCCUUUUCCUUUUCCUUUUUUUUUUAAGUUCCAUGGAAACUUUGGGCCCUUUACAUAUUUCUUUCAGAAUUCCUAUGCCCUUGUGGGAGAAAACCAUCAAAAGAUUUCAGUGGAAUGUUUUUCUCCCUUGUCCCCUGAUCCCCACCUAAGUUGUUCGUGUAGGGGUCCUAUAUCUUGAAAUCCUCUAGUGAAAACCCCUCCCCCCAUCCUACUGGCCAAGAAUAUGAAACAUUCAAAGGUUUAAGCCACAGGGGUCUGAGCUAAGGAGCCCUCCCCUUCGUCACCACUCCCACUGGAGGAUCCCAGAAAUUGAGGAUUUAACUCUGUGUUAGCCUACAGCUAUUUCUUUCCCAAAGUACCCUUGACCAUGGCUUAUCAAGGCAUUAACUCAGAUAGUCCUGUUACCAUCUAGUUUUCCUUCUUUUUUUACAUCUCUAAAAAUCCUCCAACUGGAAAUUUUUUACUCUGGGAACUCUUGAGCUCUGGACCCUAUGGGUGGUAUGACCCAUCAGGGCUUUGAAGUAGGUAUUCUGUAGACACAGAAUUCCUACAACCAAAUCACUCAGCUUUAUGCAAUGGCUAACACUUCAGACCAAAACAUGGGUGCCCAUAGAUCAUUCCAGAAGUAGAAAGGGGGGAAAAAAAAGACCUACAGGUAGUUUCAGGAAAAAAUGUAAAGUUAGUUUUCCUUAGCCAUUUUUUUUACUGAAAACAAUCUUCAUUCUCAUCUAGACUAACCUACUUGUCUAAAAAUCUCUUAAGACCAUUUUAAAAGCUCUAAAUAGUAUUCCCUUUGGCUUUUUGAUGGGCAAGUUCACUACUAAUACCUUUUCCCUCUUUGUAUUAGUGAAGAAAAUGUCUCUGAGCCUAGGAUGGAAUCCCAAGUCUGGCACUGGUCUUGCAGAAUUUAGUUUCCUCAUGGCUCCCUGGAGUAAGGCUGAGCUUCAGAAGAGGAGACAUUCUGGCUGCUCACCAGGACAGGGUGAUCAUCAAUGUGGGUUUUCUGAGGCUCUUGAAAAGAUAAAUAAAGACUACAGUAGAGUGGUUGGCAUCAGACCAGAACCACCUUGUUCCACAUGGCACAAAAAUCAGAUCUCAAGGAAAAGCAGUAUCCAUAGGAAGAGGCAGAGAAAAUUGUCCUGAGAGGAGGAGAAGGAUAAAUAACAGCAUAAUGGGAUAAUUUGUCUACAAAACAGAAGGACUAAUCUGGAAGGAGAAGCCAGGACAGGUAUGGGAGUUUCCUCUGAGAACUCCCAAACUGGGCCCUCCCUGUUUCCCCUGAUAGAAUGUACAAGGAAGACAGCAUUUGAGACUUCACUGUCAAGCUUGGAACUGAAGUUGUGAACUGAUAUGUGGGAGAAAAAGGGUUGAGGUGGGGGCCAUGGACCAUAAUACAGGCAACGUCCGUGUAACUAUUAAAGGUUUUAAAAGUACUUUACAUAUAUUAUUUCAUUUGGUCCUCAGCCUAAGUGGGUAAUACUGAUCUCUUGAUCUCCAUUUUUCCAAUAAGGAAAGGGGCUCAGUCUCAAGUGAUUUGUCCAUGGCAAUACAAAAUAGGUAAUAAAUUAGAGAGCCUAUUUGAAUCCA
RNAcentral lists this long non-coding RNA (1717 nucleotides) under Monodelphis domestica (gray short-tailed opossum). RNAcentral describes it as "lncRNA (ENSMODG00000042300.1)". Lineage: Eukaryota; Metazoa; Chordata; Mammalia; Didelphimorphia; Didelphidae. The record is from RNAcentral.